GAGAGUUUGAUCCUGGCUCAGGACGAACGCUGGCGGCGUGCCUAAUACAUGCAAGUAGAACGCUGAAGAAAGGAGCUUGCUUCUUUUGGAUGAGUUGCGAACGGGUGAGUAACGCGUAGGUAACCUGCCUUGUAGCGGGGGAUAACUAUUGGAAACGAUAGCUAAUACCGCAUAACAGCUUUUGACACAUGUUAGAAGCUUGAAAGAUGCAAUUGCAUCACUACGAGAUGGACCUGCGUUGUAUUAGCUAGUAGGUAGGGUAACGGCCUACCUAGGCGACGAUACAUAGCCGACCUGAGAGGGUGAUCGGCCACACUGGGACUGAGACACGGCCCAGACUCCUACGGGAGGCAGCAGUAGGGAAUCUUCGGCAAUGGGGGCAACCCUGACCGAGCAACGCCGCGUGAGUGAAGAAGGUUUUCGGAUCGUAAAGCUCUGUUGUAAGAGAAGAACGUGUGUGAGAGUGGAAAGUUCACACAGUGACGGUAACUUACCAGAAUGGACGGCUAA
Molecule: ribosomal RNA, 510 nt
Filed under: uncultured manure pit bacterium P37
Lineage: Bacteria
Description: bacterial SSU rRNA
Rfam family: Bacterial small subunit ribosomal RNA
Source: RNAcentral